RNAcentral lists this ribosomal RNA (475 nucleotides) under uncultured beta proteobacterium. RNAcentral describes it as "bacterial SSU rRNA". It matches the Rfam family "Bacterial small subunit ribosomal RNA", at positions 38 to 506 of the family's 1533-position model. Lineage: Bacteria; Pseudomonadati; Pseudomonadota; Betaproteobacteria. The record is from RNAcentral.
GGCGGCAUGCUUUACACAUGCAAGUCGAACGGCAGCAUGGUCUUCGGGCUGAUGGCGAGUGGCGAACGGGUGAGUAAUGCAUCGGAACGUACCGUGUAAUGGGGGACAACUGUCCGAAAGGAUAGCUAAUACCGCAUACGCCCUAUGGGGGAAAGCAGGGGACUCGCAAGAGCCUUGCGUUAUACGAGCGGCCGAUGUCCGAUUAGCUAGUUGGUGAGGUAAAGGCUCACCAAGGCGACGAUCGGUAGCGGGUCUGAGAGGACGAUCCGCCACACUGGAACUGAGACACGGUCCAGACUCCUACGGGAGGCAGCAGUGGGGAAUUUUGGACAAUGGGCGAAAGCCUGAUCCAGCAAUGCCGCGUGAGUGAAGAAGGCCCUUGGGUUGUAAAGCUCUUUCGGUCGGGAAGAAGGAAGUAUGGCUAAAAUCCAUACUGACAGACGGUACCGGCAUAAGAAGCACCGGCUAACUACGU